GUGGGGAAUAUUGGACAAUGGGCGAAAGCCUGAUCCAGCCAUGCCGCGUGUGUGAAGAAGGUCUUCGGAUUGUAAAGCACUUUAAGUUGGGAGGAAGGGUAGUAACCUAAUACGUUGCUACUUUGACGUUACCGACAGAAUAAGCACCGGCUAACUUCGUGCCAGCAGCCGCGGUAAUACGAAGGGUGCAAGCGUUAAUCGGAAUUACUGGGCGUAAAGCGCGCGUAGGUGGUUCAGUAAGUUGGAAGUGAAAUCCCCGGGCUCAACCUGGGAACUGCUUUCAAAACUGCUGAGCUAGAGUGCGGUAGAGGGUGGUGGAAUUUCCUGUGUAGCGGUGAAAUGCGUAGAUAUAGGAAGGAACACCAGUGGCGAAGGCGACCACCUGGACUGAUACUGACACUGAGGUGCGAAAGCGUGGGGAGCAAACAGGAUUAGAUACCCGGGUAGUCC
This 450-nucleotide ribosomal RNA is filed under the name uncultured bacterium. RNAcentral describes it as "partial 16S ribosomal RNA". It matches the Rfam family "Bacterial small subunit ribosomal RNA", at positions 354 to 796 of the family's 1533-position model. The record is from RNAcentral.